RNAcentral lists this ribosomal RNA (1573 nucleotides) under Tulostoma excentricum. Its description in RNAcentral is "eukaryotic LSU rRNA". The record is from RNAcentral. Lineage: Eukaryota; Fungi; Basidiomycota; Agaricomycetes; Agaricales; Agaricaceae.
UCAUUAUUGAAUAAACCUGAUAGGUUCGUGCUGGUUCCUCUGGGCACAUGCACACGCGUCUUCUUUUUAUCUCUACACGUGCRCACCUUGUAUUGUCUGAGAGUAUAGUGUGCGCGAAGCUUCUCGGGAAUCACCCUUGAUGCUAGUAGUGCAAGUUCCUCUGGGUCUAUGUCUUUCAUAUACCACAUAGAAUGUAUUAGAAAGCUUUUAUUGGGCCUCAGUGCCUAUAAAACACAAUACAACUUUCAGCAACGGAUCUCUUGGCUCUCGCAUCGAUGAAGAACGCAGCGAAAUGCGAUAAGUAAUGUGAAUUGCAGAAUUCAGUGAAUCAUCGAAUCUUUGAACGCACCUUGCGCUCCUUGGUAUUCCGAGGAGCAUGCCUGUUUGAGUGUCAUUUAAUUCUCAAUCCCCACCAGUUUGUUGUGACUGGCUUGGUGGAUUGGAUGUGGGGGUUUUGUUUGCGGGCCUCCUCAGAGGUCGGCUCCCCUGAAAAGCAUUAGCGGAACCGUUUGCGGAACCCGUCACUGGUGUGAUAAUUAUCUACGCCAAAGACAACUGCUCUCUGGUAGUUCUGCUUCUAAUCGUCCUUUUACUUGGACAAUGAUAUAUCUGAAUGCUUGACCUCAAAUCAGGUAGGACUACCCGCUGAACUUAAGCAUAUCAAUAAGCGGAGGAAAAGAAACUAACAAGGAUUCCCCUAGUAACUGCGAGUGAAGCGGGAAAAGCUCAAAUUUAAAAUCUGGCGGUCUUUGGCCGUCCGAGUUGUAAUCUAGAGAAGCGUUACCCGCGCUGGACCGUGUACAAGUCUCCUGGGAUGGAGCAUCAUAGAGGGUGAGAAUCCCGUCUCUGACACGGACUACCAGGGCUUUGUGGUGCGCUCUCAAAGAGUCGAGUUGUUUGGGAAUGCAGCUCUAAACGGGUGGUAAAUUCCAUCUAAAGCUAAAUAUUGGCGAGAGACCGAUAGCGAACAAGUACCGUGAGGGAAAGAUGAAAAGAACUUUGGAAAGAGAGUUAAACAGUACGUGAAAUUGCUGAAAGGGAAACGCUUGAAGUCAGUCGCGUUGGCCGGGGAUCAGCCUCGCUCUUGCGUGGUGUACUUCCUGGUUGACGGGUCAGCAUCAAUUUUGACCGCUGGAAAAGGACUUGGGGAAUGUGGCAUCUUCGGAUGUGUUAUAGCCCUUUGUCGCAUACAGCGGUUGGGAUUGAGGAACUCAGCACGCCGUAAGGCCGGGUGAUAACCACUUUCGUGCUUAGGAUGCUGGCAUAAUGGCUUUAAUCGACCCGUCUUGAAACACGGACCAAGGAGUCUAACAUGCCUGCGAGUGUUUGGGUGGAAAACCCGAGCGCGCAAUGAAAGUGAAAGUUGAGAUCCCUGUCGUGGGGAGCAUCGACGCCCGGACCAGAACUUUUGGGACGGAUCUGCGGUAGAGCAUGUAUGUUGGGACCCGAAAGAUGGUGAACUAUGCCUGAAUAGGGUGAAGCCAGAGGAAACUCUGGUGGAGGCUCGUAGCGAUUCUGACGUGCAAAUCGAUCGUCAAAUUUGGGUAUAGGGGCGAAAGACUAAUCGAACCAU